Spinacia oleracea (spinach) is the source of this 511-nucleotide long non-coding RNA. RefSeq lists it as uncharacterized. The record is from RefSeq and is a predicted model, not a curated record. Lineage: Eukaryota; Viridiplantae; Streptophyta; Magnoliopsida; Caryophyllales; Amaranthaceae. The transcript is spliced from 2 exons.
GAAAAAACAAAUUCAUCUCUCUCAAUUAAGCAUUGGCGCGGCAGAUUGUGAAACUCGAAAAAAAAAACCUCCCCACAAAACCUAUUCCAAAGUUAACCUUAAUUCAUCCUCUCGCAGAACCUAAAUUCAUCCUCCCGCAAAAUCCAAACCACAACCGCACAUCACCCCAAUCUCCCACACCGCAGUGUCGUCGCUCUUUUUCAAUCUCUGGUGAAGUCGAGUUUCCACACUCCAAUUUUUUAGGGUGUUAGCAAUUGAUGUUCCUUGCCGAUUGAGAAUGACAAAGGUGUCCAUAUAGUUGUCCUUGGAGAAGUGUACGUUGGGAAGGAAGGAUAAGUGGUCAAGAAUAAUUUCAAACCUGUGCCUAGCGGUUAUUAUCGAGUUUGUAUUGAAGAAUAUAUCAACCCAAGUGCGGAAUUGCCAUGUCCCGAGGGGGGGAAACAAAAUUCGUUUUUCAAAGCUUGGAUAGAUUUUUUAUAUUGCCUGCUCAUUUGAUUUUUCGUUAAAUAAG